CAUUAACCAAAGGAUCGGAGCGUGAACAACGCGUGAUCCGAUAAACGGGGUUAAGUUGCAGUUAAUGUGAGGUCUUUUUUGCUACGUUUCCCGAGCUCUAUGAUAUGUCCUUCUUCAAACGAGGUCCCUGGCAUUACUGAAGUCUAUGGGCGACGGUAACCACUCACCAUCAGAGAUCUUUUUUGCUACGUGCCAUCCGGCUAUGGAAUGAGCACCCCUCCACGGUGUUUCCCGAGCGCUAUCACAUGUCCUUCUUCAAACUUGGAUUGUGAAAAUAUGAAGCGGUAGGCAGCGGCUUAGCUCUGCCCCCGGCAUUGCUGAAGUCCAUGAGCGACGGUGACCACUUACCAUCAGGUGGGCCGUAUGCUCGUCUGCAUAAAAAAAAAAAAAAAAAAAAAAAAAAAAAAAAAAAAAAAAAAAAAAAAAAAAAAAAACAAAAAAAAAAAAAAAAAAAAAAAAAAAAAAAAAAAAAAAAAAAAAAAAAAAAAAAAAAAAAAAAAAAAAAAAAAAAUAGUAUGACAUUAAA
Long non-coding RNA from Bombyx mori (domestic silkworm), 526 nucleotides. RefSeq lists it as uncharacterized. The record is from RefSeq and is a predicted model, not a curated record. The transcript has 3 exons. Lineage: Eukaryota; Metazoa; Arthropoda; Insecta; Lepidoptera; Bombycidae.